CAGCGCAACACCACAAGUUUGCCACAAGUUUGAAAAAAGACAGAAAGAGGAGGCUUUAACUUUGUCUUGCAUUGAUUUCAUGAGAGCUGUAAGAAUAAGCAAGCAGCUCUGAUUCCGCCCUCUUCAAUGCCAUCAAAGAGGCCACUUCUUCCAAAACGAGGCUCCCUUAAUACCACUAAACUAGACCUCAGAUGCAGUAAUGUGAGAUAGAGCAAAUGUAGUCUUUUGAUAUCAAACAAAACCAAUUUUUUCCGUUUCAUCCUUCCCUGUCUGCGCCGUUGAUAUGCUUGGGCUUCUGGGGGUUGUAUAUCCCGGAGCAGUUGCAGAUCCGAGGCUGGUGGCCUCCGUUCUUGAGAUUCGGUGAGGCGGUGUGGCGAGUGGGUGUGCGUAGUCGGAUUUUAGGGUAAAUUCCUCUCUUUGAUCUGGUUUUCUCCUUUUUCAGAUCUGGUGGGGUGUUUGUGCGGUGGAGACGUGUGUUUAGUAGGUUGCUCUCUCCUUGGUCUCUAUGGUCUGAAUCCGAAGUUUAUCUUCGUGUGGAGAGGGGCGUUUUGCUCUUCGUCUUCCCGGCGCUAGGGUUUUGGUGUCUUCAUGCGGUCUGCUCUGCUCAAGGGAGACGACAUGUACGGUUAUCUGUCGGUUCGUGCACAUGGUUUGGAUGGUCGUGUGGCUAUCGUUUCUUAUGUGGGCUUGUGUCUGCAUUUUCUGUGGCGUGGUUAGGGUUUGUCGUCUAUGGCUUGCUUGUCUCCGUCACCGAGGUUGCUCUCCUUUUGCUUCCUCUCUCAUGAAUCUGGUCGAGUGUGCUCUACUCUCUUUGUGAGUGGUUAGGGCUUUUGUUGGUUCCGCUUCAUGUUCGCCAUGCUCUAACAAGGGUGUUUGUGAAGCGCUUAAAGACCGGAGCAGGUUCUUUGUUUUGGAUCAGGUCGUUGUCUUGUAGCUCCGGUUGGGUCUGUCGGUGGUGUGGACGGCGGGGUCUCCUGGUUAGGGAAUGGUCAUCCCAGUGCUUGGUCGGCCUCUUGGCUUGCUCAGCAGAUUAUUCCCUUUCUUUUGGCAGGAUCCGAAGAUCUCGUUUCAGAUUUGUCUCCAUCGCAGCCUGUUGAAUAAAGCUCGGCUGUCUCGUGGGUGUGUUUAGUCUCUGGUCUAGCGGUUUGUGCGUGUUGGAUUUGGAUUCGAAGGUCAUUAGCGAGCUGUUCUUAGAUGGACCUUAUCUUAAAGACAUGUUCAUCGGGUACGCCAACUUUUACCAGGUUCAGGAUCUCGUAUUCACUGCGGUUCAUCUUUUUGCGGCAAGCGACUUGUUCCGACUCUGAUGGGUCCUCUGUGUGGACUAGUUAGCUAGUUGUAUUAUCCCUUGCUUGUUCAGUUAGUGCUUAUGUCUAGUUAGUUUAGUUGUAUUUUAAUUAUCUGUUUUUUGUUUUCUCUAUAAUUCUGUCAAAAACUAAAAUUGGUAACAAAAUCUUAACAUUUUUACCAGAAAAAAAGUCAGAUUUAAUAAUAUAUAUAUAUCUUAACUUGAUAUAUAGUUGUUACAAAUAAAUAAAGUGGAUAUAUAUACAACAUAUGGACCUUAAUUUUUUUAUAUGAGAACCAUUGGGAGCUUGGGGGAUGACAAUUCCAAAGCUUAUGUCUCGGGAAUAAAUGUGGAUGGUGCUAAGCUCUCUGAAACUGACAAUGGAGUAAGAAUUAUGACUUACCAGGGAGGGUCAGGAACUGCCAAGAACAUUAAAUUACAAAUCAUUCGUAUGGACAAUGUCAAGAACCCGAUCAUAAUCGACCAGAACUAGUGUGACAAGGAAAAAUGCGAGCAACAAGAAUCUGCGGUGCAAGUGAACAAUGUGGUAUACCGGAACAUCAGUGGUACGAGCGCAACGGAUGUGGCGAUAAUGUUUAACUGCAGUGAGAAAUAUACAUGCCAAGGUAUAGUGCUUGAGAACGUGAACAUCAAAGGAGGAACAGCUUCUUGCAAAAAUGUCGUCAAUGUUAAGGAUCAAGGCACCGUUUCCCCUCAAUACCCUUAACUAAUUAUCAAAUUAUGUAAUUUACAUAGAUACAUAUACUAUGUAUUUACAUAUUUGAUUCUUGAGAUAUGUAGAAUAUUAAAGAACUAAUAUAUGGUUAAUAUAUAUACAAUAGUCGAAAGAUUUGUUGUCUA
Long non-coding RNA from Brassica napus (rape), 2149 nucleotides. RefSeq lists it as uncharacterized. The transcript is spliced from 3 exons. The record is from RefSeq and is a predicted model, not a curated record. Lineage: Eukaryota; Viridiplantae; Streptophyta; Magnoliopsida; Brassicales; Brassicaceae.